CAAUUAUCAAGAGUGACCGAGGGAUCAGGCCCUAUGACGUCCGGCAACCUCCAGUAUGGAACGGUGCUAAUUCCUGCAGAGUGAUUUCAUUCUGAAAGAUAAGUG
Molecule: non-coding RNA, 105 nt
Filed under: Bacillus sp. (in: firmicutes)
Lineage: Bacteria; Bacillati; Bacillota; Bacilli; Caryophanales; Bacillaceae
Description: Bacillus sp. SAM-I sequence
Rfam family: SAM riboswitch aptamer (S box leader)
About the family: The SAM riboswitch is found upstream of a number of genes which code for proteins involved in methionine or cysteine biosynthesis in Gram-positive bacteria. The SAM riboswitch acts at the level of transcription termination control.
Source: RNAcentral